This 720-nucleotide ribosomal RNA is filed under the name Escherichia coli. RNAcentral describes it as "partial 23S ribosomal RNA". It matches the Rfam family "Bacterial large subunit ribosomal RNA", at positions 837 to 1557 of the family's 2925-position model. Lineage: Bacteria; Pseudomonadati; Pseudomonadota; Gammaproteobacteria; Enterobacterales; Enterobacteriaceae. The record is from RNAcentral.
ACCGGGAGAUAGCUGGUUCUCCCCGAAAGCUAUUUAGGUAGCGCCUCGUGAAUUCAUCUCCGGGGGUAGAGCACUGUUUCGGCAAGGGGGUCAUCCCGACUUACCAACCCGAUGCAAACUGCGAAUACCGGAGAAUGUUAUCACGGGAGACACACGGCGGGUGCUAACGUCCGUCGUGAAGAGGGAAACAACCCAGACCGCCAGCUAAGGUCCCAAAGUCAUGGUUAAGUGGGAAACGAUGUGGGAAGGCCCAGACAGCCAGGAUGUUGGCUUAGAAGCAGCCAUCAUUUAAAGAAAGCGUAAUAGCUCACUGGUCGAGUCGGCCUGCGCGGAAGAUGUAACGGGGCUAAACCAUGCACCGAAGCUGCGGCAGCGACGCUGAUGCGUUGUUGGGUAGGGGAGCGUUCUGUAAGCCUGCGAAGGUGUGCUGUGAGGCAUGCUGGAGGUAUCAGAAGUGCGAAUGCUGACAUAAGUAACGAUAAAGCGGGUGAAAAGCCCGCUCGCCGGAAGACCAAGGGUUCCUGUCCAACGUUAAUCGGGGCAGGGUGAGUCGACCCCUAAGGCGAGGCCGAAAGGCGUAGUCGAUGGGAAACAGGUUAAUAUUCCUGUACUUGGUGUUACUGCGAAGGGGGGACGGAGAAGGCUAUGUUGGCCGGGCGACGGUUGUCCCGGUUUAAGCGUGUAGGCUGGUUUUCCAGGCAAAUCCGGAAAAUCAAGGCU